GCUGCUCAGCACCAGCUUGCCCGCCCAGCAUGCACGCCUCCCUACCUGCUAACCCCACCCCGCCCUUCCCCUUCCUCUCCCCUUCCUCUCUCGACCACCCAGGCCACCAAGGACGCCGGCACCAUUUCUGGCCUGAACGUGGUGCGCAUCAUCAACGAGCCCACUGCCGCUGCCAUCGCCUACGGCCUGGACAAGAAGGGCGGCGAGAAGAACAUCCUGGUGUUCGACCUGGGCGGUGGCACCUUCGAUGUGUCCAUCCUCACCAUCGACAACGGCGUGUUUGAGGUCAUCUCCACCAACGGCGACACUCACCUGGGCGGUGAGGACUUUGACCAGCGCGUCAUGGAGUACUUCAUCAAGCUGAUCAAGAAGAAGUACAAGAAGGACAUUAGCGGCGACGCCCGCGCCCUGCAGAAGCUGCGCCGCGAGGCCGAGCGUGCCAAGCGUGCCCUGUCCAGCCAGCACCAGGUGAGCGAGCGCGCGUGUGGGGGCGUGCGGCAAUGUACACCCAGGCUGUAUGUGGGUGUGUGGGCAUGGACACGGUAUGUAUGGGUGUGGGCAUGGUGCAUGUUCAGGAACGGGGUUGCAGGAUGCGUAAAUCGAUGAGCUUCGGCUGAACACCUGCUUUUCCAGUCCGUCCCCUGACCCCGCCGCGCAC
This 658-nucleotide long non-coding RNA is filed under the name Chlamydomonas reinhardtii. Its description in RNAcentral is "long non-coding RNA (CREI_LNC000105)". Lineage: Eukaryota; Viridiplantae; Chlorophyta; Chlorophyceae; Chlamydomonadales; Chlamydomonadaceae. The record is from RNAcentral.